GGCCCAGUGGCGGAAGGUCCGCUUCUGCUACAUGUUCAGGGAAUUGUAUUGUUUUCCAAGCAGAUUACGUCCGUUCGACUCGGGCCUGGGCCA
Mycena rebaudengoi is the source of this 93-nucleotide non-coding RNA. NCBI's taxonomy places the organism in Eukaryota, Fungi, Basidiomycota, Agaricomycetes, Agaricales, Mycenaceae. The record is from the annotation of a GenBank genome assembly.